This 32-nucleotide ribosomal RNA is filed under the name Osmorhiza occidentalis. Its description in RNAcentral is "partial 18S ribosomal RNA". RNAcentral also lists the same sequence under 2 other names. Lineage: Eukaryota; Viridiplantae; Streptophyta; Magnoliopsida; Apiales; Apiaceae. The record is from RNAcentral.
GUUUCCGUAGUGAACCUGCGGAAGGAUCAUUG